UCACCUCUUCGAUAUAUAUUUAUCAUGUUUUAAUAUUUCAAAAUCUAUUUUACAAUAAAAUUGAGAAUGGAAAGUGGGAAUGUGACAACAACCUGAUCAAAGAGCAGAAUAAAGCAGAAGGUCACCAAGAAAAUCCUGCACCCAGAGGGACUGUUUACAAAUUCCACCUUCCACAGCUUAAAUUUUGGCAUCUUUCAACUUCUG
RNAcentral lists this long non-coding RNA (204 nucleotides) under Mytilus galloprovincialis (Mediterranean mussel). Lineage: Eukaryota; Metazoa; Mollusca; Bivalvia; Mytilida; Mytilidae. The record is from RNAcentral.